Molecule: ribosomal RNA, 497 nt
Filed under: uncultured bacterium
Lineage: Bacteria
Description: partial 16S ribosomal RNA
Rfam family: Bacterial small subunit ribosomal RNA
Source: RNAcentral
GAUGAACGCUGGCGGCGUGCCUAAUACAUGCAAGUCGAGCGAACAGAUGAGGAGCUUGCUCCUCUGACGUUAGCGGCGGACGGGUGAGUAACACGUGGAUAACCUACCUAUAAGACUGGGAUAACUUCGGGAAACCGGAGCUAAUACCGUAUAAUAUAUUGAACCGCAUGGUUCAAUAGUGAAAGACGGUUUUGCUGUCACUUAUAGAUGGAUCCGCGCCGCAUUAGCUAGUUGGUAAGGUAACGGCUUAUCAAGGCAACGAUGCGUAGCCGACCUGAGAGGGUGAUAGGCCACACUGGAACUGAGACACGGUCAAGACGACUACGGGAGGCAGCAGUAGGGAAUCUUACGCAAUGGGCGGAAGCAUGACGGAGCAACGCCGCGUGAGUGAUGAAGGUCUUCGGAUCGUAAAACUCUGUUAUGAGGGAAGAACAAAUGUGGAAGGAACUAUGCACGUAGUGACGGUACCUAAUCAGAAAGCCACGGCUAACUACGUG